UCCCUUAGUAGCGGCGAGCGAAACGGGAAGAGCCCAAACCAACAAGCUUGCUUGUUGGGGUUGUAGGACACUCUAUACGGAGUUACAAAGGACGACAUUAGACGAAUCAUCUGGAAAGAUGAAUCAAAGAAGGUAAUAAUCCUGUAGUCGAAAAUGUUGUCUCUCUUGAGUGGAUCCUGAGUACGACGGAGCACGUGAAAUUCCGUCGGAAUCUGGGAGGACCAUCUCCUAAGGCUAAAUACUCUCUAGUGACCGAUAGUGAACCAGUACCGUGAGGGAAAGGUGAAAAGCACCCCGGAAGGGGAGUGAAAUAGAACCUGAAACCGUGUGCUUACAAGUAGUCAGAGCCCGUUAAUGGGUGAUGGCGUGCCUUUUGUAGAAUGAACCGGCGAGUUACGAUUUGAUGCAAGGUUAAGCAGUAAAUGUGGAGCCGUAGCGAAAGCGAGUCUGAAUAGGGCGUUUAGUAUUUGGUCGUA
This 476-nucleotide ribosomal RNA is filed under the name Staphylococcus aureus. RNAcentral describes it as "partial 23S ribosomal RNA". It matches the Rfam family "Bacterial large subunit ribosomal RNA", at positions 236 to 711 of the family's 2925-position model. The record is from RNAcentral. Lineage: Bacteria; Bacillati; Bacillota; Bacilli; Caryophanales; Staphylococcaceae.